RNAcentral lists this ribosomal RNA (495 nucleotides) under uncultured bacterium. RNAcentral's name for it is "bacterial SSU rRNA". It matches the Rfam family "Bacterial small subunit ribosomal RNA", at positions 29 to 518 of the family's 1533-position model. The record is from RNAcentral.
AUGAACGCUAGCGACAGGCCUAACACAUGCAAGUCGAGGGGCAGCACAAGGAGCAAUCUGAGGUGGCGACCGGCGCACGGGUGAGUAGCACGUAUGCAACCUGCCUGUAAGCGGGGAAUAACCCGUUGAAAGACGGACUAAUACCGCAUAAUACUAAAUUACUGCAUGGUAAUUUAUUUAAACAUUUAUGGCUUACAGAUGGGCAUGCGCAUGAUUAGCUAGUUGGAGAGGUAACGGCUCCCCAAGGCAACGAUCAUUAGGGGUUCUGAGAGGAAGGUCCCCCACACUGGUACUGAGACACGGACCAGACUCCUACGGGAGGCAGCAGUGAGGAAUAUUGGUCAAUGGACGAGAGUCUGAACCAGCCAAGUCGCGUGCAGGAAGAAUGUCCCUAUGGAUUGUAAACUGCUUUUGCAGGGGAAUAAAGUGCAUCACGUGUGAUGUUUUGUAUGUACUCUGCGAAUAAGGAUCGGCUAACUCCGUGCCAGCCGCCGC